AUGAGGUUUCACCUUGCUGGCCAGGCUGGUCUUGAACUCCUGGUUCGAGACCAGCCUGGCCAACAAGGUGAAACCCCGU
Pan troglodytes (chimpanzee) is the source of this 79-nucleotide microRNA precursor. It matches the Rfam family "mir-1285 microRNA precursor family". Lineage: Eukaryota; Metazoa; Chordata; Mammalia; Primates; Hominidae. The record is from Rfam.